This 524-nucleotide ribosomal RNA is filed under the name Desulfotalea sp. PR6_C06. RNAcentral's name for it is "bacterial SSU rRNA". It matches the Rfam family "Bacterial small subunit ribosomal RNA", at positions 147 to 661 of the family's 1533-position model. The record is from RNAcentral. Lineage: Bacteria; Pseudomonadati; Thermodesulfobacteriota; Desulfobulbia; Desulfobulbales; Desulfocapsaceae.
CCCACCGAAAGGUGUGCUAAUACCGGAUACGCUGAGCAAUCAGGAAAGGUGGCCUCUUCAUGAAAGCUACUGUACCAGGAGGAGCUUGCGUACCAUUAGCUAGUUGGUAGGGUAAUGGCCUACCAAGGCAACGAUGGUUAGCGGGUCUGAGAGGAUGAUCCGCCACACUGGAACUGAAACACGGACCAGACUCCUACGGGAGGCAGCAGUGAGGAAUAUUGCGCAAUGGGGGAAACCCUGACGCAGCGACGCCGCGUGGAUGAUGAAGGCCUUCGGGUCGUAAAAUCCUGUCAGAUGGAAAGAAAUGUAGUAUGCCUAAUACGUGUACUAUUUGACGGUACCAUCAAAGGAAGCACCGGCUAACUCCGUGCCAGCAGCCGCGGUAAUACGGAGGGUGCAAGCGUUGUUCGGAAUUACUGGGCGUAAAGCGCGCGUAGGCGGUUUGUUAAGUCAGAUGUGAAAGUCCACGGCUCAACCGUGGAAGUGCAUUUGAAACUGGCAGGCUUGAGUACUGGAGGGGGUGG